RNAcentral lists this ribosomal RNA (753 nucleotides) under uncultured crenarchaeote. Its description in RNAcentral is "bacterial SSU rRNA". It matches the Rfam family "Archaeal small subunit ribosomal RNA", at positions 54 to 814 of the family's 1478-position model. Lineage: Archaea; Thermoproteati; Thermoproteota. The record is from RNAcentral.
CGAGUCAUUGUAGUAAUACAAGGCAGACGGCUCAGUAACGCGUACUUUCAUAACCUAUGGACGGGAAUAACCUCGGGAAAUUGACCAUAAUGCCCGAUAGAACAUUAUGCCUGGAAUGGUUUAUGUUCCAAAUGAUUUAUCGCCGUAGGAUGGGACUGCGCCCUAUCAGUUUGUUGGUGAGGUAAUGGCCCACCAAGACUAUUACAGGUACGGGCUCUGAGAGGAGUAGCCCGGAGAUGGGUACUGAGACACGGACCCAGGCCCUAUGGGGCGCAGCAGGCGAGAAAACUUUGCAAUGUGCGAAAGCACGACAAGGUUAAUCCGAGUGGUUUCUGCUAAAGGAACCUUUUGUCGGUCCUAGAAACACCGAUGAAUAAGGGGUGGGCAAGUUCUGGUGUCAGCCGCCGCGGUAAAACCAGCACCUCAAGUGGUCUGGAUGAUUAUUGGGCCUAAAGCAUCCGUAGCCGGCUCUGUUAGUUUUCGGUUAAAUCUGUACGCUCAACGUACAGGCUGCCGGGAAUACUGCAGAGCUAGGGAGUGGGAGAGGUAGACGGUACUCGGUAGGAAGGGGUAAAAUCCUUUGAUCUAUUGAUGACCACCUGUGGCGAAGGCGGUCUACCAGAACACGUCCGACGGUGAGGGAUGAAAGCUGGGGGAGCAAACCGGAUUAGAUACCCGGGUAGUCCCAGCUGUAAACUAUGCAAACUCAGUGAUGCAUUGGCUUGUGGCCAAUGCAGUGCUGCAGGGAAGCCG